AUGCAAGUCGAACGAUUAAAGCUCUCUUCGGAGAGUGCAUAAAGUGGCGCACGGGUGAGUAACACGUAAGUAAUCUACCCUCGGGUGGGGAACAACGUCCGGAAACGGACGCUAAUACCGCAUAAUGCAGCGGCACCAUAUGGUGACAGUUGUUAAAGGAGAAGUUCGCCUGGGGAGGAGCUUGCGGCAGAUUAGCUUGUUGGUAGGGUAACGGCCUACCAAGGCGACGAUCUGUAGCCGGUCUAAGAGGACGGUCGGUCACACUGACACUGAAUAACGGGUCAGACUCCUACGGGAGGCAGCAGUCGGGAAUUUUGGGCAAUGGGCGAAAGCCUGACCCAGCAACGCCGCGUGAAGGAUGAAGUAUUUCGGUAUGUAAACUUCGUAAGAAUGGGAAGAAACAAAUGACGGUACCAUUUGUAAGCCCCGGCUAACUACGUGCCAGCAGCCGCGGUAAUACGUAGGGGGCAAGCGUUGUUCGGAUUUACUGGGCGUAAAGGGCGCGUAGGCGGCGGGACAAGUCACUUGUGAAAUCUCUGAGCUUAACUCAGAACGGCCAAGUGAUACUGUCUUGCUAGAGCGCAGAAGGGGCAAUCGGAAUUCUUGGUGUAGCGGUGAAAUGCGUAGAUAUCAAGAGGAACACCUGAGGCGAAGGCGGGUUGCUAGGCUGACACUGACGCUGAGGCGCGAAAGCUAGGGGAGCAAACGGGAUUAGAUACCCCGGUAGUCCUAG
RNAcentral lists this ribosomal RNA (733 nucleotides) under uncultured Acidobacteriota bacterium. Its description in RNAcentral is "bacterial SSU rRNA". It matches the Rfam family "Bacterial small subunit ribosomal RNA", at positions 55 to 799 of the family's 1533-position model. The record is from RNAcentral. Lineage: Bacteria; Pseudomonadati; Acidobacteriota.